Molecule: ribosomal RNA, 316 nt
Filed under: Catapagurus sp. USNM 1297635
Lineage: Eukaryota; Metazoa; Arthropoda; Malacostraca; Decapoda; Paguridae
Description: partial small subunit ribosomal RNA
Source: RNAcentral
AGAUACCCUACUAUAAUUAAAGUGAAUUCGGCCAGAGUAUUAAUAGUUAUUUUCUUUAAAUUCAAAGAAUUUGGCGGUGUUUUAGUCCUCUUAGAKGAACCUGUUUCGUAAACGAUAGGCCGCGAAAAUCUUACCUGUGUUGUGUUUGUAUACCGUCAUUAUCAGAUAACUUUGACAGAAUGAGUUGUUGUAAAGNKAAAAUAAUUAAGUAAAUUAGAUCAAGGUGCAGGUUAUACAUAGGAAGAAAAUGGGGUUACAANUAAGAAUAGUUUAUAUGGAUUUGUUUAUGAAAAAUAAGCAAUGAAGGUGGAUUUAA